UACGAAGGGUGCAAGCGUUACUCGGAAUUACUGGGCGUAAAGCGUGCGUAGGCGGUUCGUUAAGUCUGUCGUGAAAGCCCUGGGCUCAACCUGGGAAUUGCGAUGGAUACUGGCGAGCUAGAGUACGGUAGAGGAUGGUGGAAUUCCCGGUGUAGCGGUGAAAUGCGUAGAGAUCGGGAGGAACACCCGUGGCGAAGGCGGCCAUCUGGACCAGUACUGACGCUGAGGCACGAAAGCGUGGGUAGCAAACAGG
RNAcentral lists this ribosomal RNA (253 nucleotides) under uncultured bacterium. RNAcentral's name for it is "partial 16S ribosomal RNA". It matches the Rfam family "Bacterial small subunit ribosomal RNA", at positions 524 to 776 of the family's 1533-position model. The record is from RNAcentral.